This 468-nucleotide ribosomal RNA is filed under the name uncultured bacterium. Its description in RNAcentral is "partial 16S ribosomal RNA". It matches the Rfam family "Bacterial small subunit ribosomal RNA", at positions 28 to 507 of the family's 1533-position model. The record is from RNAcentral.
GACGAACGCUGGCGGCGUGCCUAACACAUGCAAGUCGAACGGAAAGGCCCUGCUUUUGUGGGGUGCUCGAGUGGCGAACGGGUGAGUAACACGUGAGUAACCUGUCCUUGACUGUGGGAUAACUUCGGGAAACUGGGGCUAAUACCGGCUAGGAUCUCCUGCUGCAUGGUGGGGGUUGGAUAGUUUCGGCGGUUGGGGAUGGACUCGCGGCUUAUCAGCUUGAUGGUUGGGUAGUGGCUUACCAAGGCUUUGACGGGUAGCCGGGCUGAGAGGGUGACCGGCCCCAUUAGGACUGAGAUACGGCACGGACUAGUACGGGAGGCAACGGUGGAGAAUAGUACACAAUGGGCGGGAGCCUGGUGCAGCAACGCCGCGUGCGGGAAGACGGCCUUCGGGUUGUAAACCGCUUUCGCCUGUGACGAAGCGUGAGUGACGGUAAUGGGUAAAGAAGCACCGGCUAACUACGUG